RNAcentral lists this ribosomal RNA (468 nucleotides) under uncultured bacterium. Its description in RNAcentral is "partial 16S ribosomal RNA". It matches the Rfam family "Bacterial small subunit ribosomal RNA", at positions 28 to 507 of the family's 1533-position model. The record is from RNAcentral.
GACGAACGCUGGCGGCGUGCUUAACACAUGCAAGUCGAACGGAAAGGCCCUUCUCUUGUGGUGCUCUCGAGUGGCGAACGGGUGUAUCACACGUGUGUCAUCUGCCCGUGUCUUUGGGAUAACUUCAAGACACUGGCGCUUAUCCCGGAUAAGCUCUCCUGCCACAUGGUGGGUGGUGAAGUGUUUCGGCGGUUGGGGAUGGACUCGCGGCUUAUCAGCUUGUUGGUGGGGUAGUGGCUUACCAAGGCUUUGACGGGUAGCCGGCCUGAGAGGGUGACCGGCCACAUUGGGACUGAGAUACGGCCCAGACUCCUACGGGAGGCAGCAGUGGGGAAUAUUGCACAAUGGGCGGAAGCCUGUGGAAGAAACGCCGCGUGCGGGAUACCGGCCUUCGGGUUGUAAACGGCUUUCGCCUGUGACGAAGCGUGUGUGACGGUAAUGGGUAAAGAAGCACCGGCUAACUACGUG